This 253-nucleotide ribosomal RNA is filed under the name uncultured bacterium. RNAcentral describes it as "partial 16S ribosomal RNA". It matches the Rfam family "Bacterial small subunit ribosomal RNA", at positions 524 to 776 of the family's 1533-position model. The record is from RNAcentral.
UACAGAGGUCUCAAGCGUUGUUCGGAUUCAUUGGGCGUAAAGGGUGCGUAGGUGGCGCCGUAAGUCGGGUGUGAAAUUUCGGAGCUUAACUCCGAAACUGCAUUCGAUACUGCGGUGCUUGAGGACUGGAGAGGAGACUGGAAUUCAUGGUGUAGCAGUGAAAUGCGUAGAGAUCACGAGGAAGACCAGUGGCGAAGACGGGUCUCUGGACAGUUCCUGACACUGAGACACGAAGGCCAGGGGAGCAAACGGG